This is a long non-coding RNA of Trifolium pratense (red clover), 1444 nucleotides long. RefSeq lists it as uncharacterized. The record is from RefSeq and is a predicted model, not a curated record. The transcript has 5 exons. NCBI's taxonomy places the organism in Eukaryota, Viridiplantae, Streptophyta, Magnoliopsida, Fabales, Fabaceae.
AAUUUAUAUAACUGAACUAAAUGAGUAAGUAACUAAGCCAUAUUCCAAGCCAACCAAGCCAAAACUUUGUUAUGUGAGAGAAAAAGUUACUUUCCAUGAGCCAUUUGGUUCCAAUAAACUGAUUUGGUUAGAAUUCAAAAAAUUCAGUUUUGAUCUUAAAUUUAACAUGUGACCUACCCAUCACACAUCACUCUUUUUUCUUUACCCACUUUCACUUCUCCCAAUACUGACAAAUCUCUAUCACUAUUUUUUCAAAUUAAAAAAACAUUUCCCCCUCUUUAGUAAUUGAAAUUUGAUUAUAUACUCAUUCAAAAUUUCAAUCACUUUCUCAUAUCUUCUACUUUUUCUGGUUUUUUAUUAAUUUCUCUCAUCAGUAAGUAUAUUUUCUUUAAUAUAUAAUUUAUGUUUUGCAAAAAAAAUAAUAAAAACCCAAUGUCAAAUUUAAAAUACUUUUUGACCCACAUUUCCCUCUCAUUGUGGAAUUCAAAUUUUGAAUUCAAUGCUAUAUUACCUUCUCUCACCAACAUAAAUUAGAAACAAAUGAACCUCUCUUAAUUUUCUCAUUCUCUCACAAUUCUUUCCUUCAUCAUCUUUUACUACAAUUCUAUAAUAACUUGAUUUUUUGUUUGUUUUGCAGAAAGAUUAAAAUAUAUUCAUCUCCAUCUAACAACAACGCGGGAAAGUUGAAAGUAUUUCAGUGAUAACAUCAAACAAGAACACGUGAAAGUAGAAUAGUAUAACAUUUUUCAUGAUUGAACAAAUUCUACUUCAAGAUUCAUGAAAAAAUUCUACUUCAAGAUAGGGAGAUGUUGAAAACAGUGGUUUUGCAUCAAACAACUUUCAAAGAUUCAAGUAACCAAGACCCAAAAAUUAUUCAUGAUAAAAACAAAAGAUGAACACGGGAAACAAAACACUACCAAGGAAGAUCGCGAGAAAAGAAAACACAUACCAAGAAAGUGGAAGAAUUUGAUUUUGAUAACAUUUCUGAGUGAUUAUAUGGCAGGGACGGUGGCCGGCCGCCGGAAACAGAGUUGAGAAAGAGUGAAGGAGGGAGUAAGAGAGAGAAAGAAAAAUGGAAAAUGAAGGAUCUGCGAAGAAAAAGUGUAUAUAUACCCAAUGUGAUCCAAUGUGCAAGUGUCCACGGCUGCACACCGUAAGCUUUCCAUCAUCACCGCUUAUCUUCAUCAGACACAUAUAUCUUUCUUUCCCUGUUCAGAUCAGGAUCAUCUGAUCAAUCUGACGAAGAUGAGAAGAUGAAGCCACACCCAAGAUCAGGGAACAAGUAUCUCCAAUUUUUUCAUAAUCCAUUUUUAGACAAAUUAUACUACUCAUUCAUGUAAUUGAUAACAGUUUCAAAAUAGCUAACAUUUACAUUAAAUAAAUCAUAUAUGAGACAAAUAUGCUAUUAAUUCAUAGUACUCAUACUGAUUAAAUAAAUCUAACU